GGGCCCGCACAAGCGGUGGAGCAUGUGGUUUAAUUCGAAGCAACGCGAAGAACCUUACCAGGUCUUGACAUACUCGUGCUAUCCUUAGAGAUAAGGAGUUCCUUCGGGACACGGGAUACAGGUGGUGCAUGGUUGUCGUCAGCUCGUGUCGUGAGAUGUUGGGUUAAGUCCCGCAACGAGCGCAACCCUUAUUACUAGUUGCCAUCAUUAAGUUGGGCACUCUAGUGAGACUGCCGGUGAUAAACCGGAGGAAGGUGGGGAUGACGUCAAAUCAUCAUGCCCCUUAUGACCUGGGCUACACACGUGCUACAAUGGAUGGUACAACGAGUCGCCAACCCGCGAGGGUGCGCUAAUCUCUUAAAACCAAUUCUCAGUUCGGAUUGCAGGCUGCAACUCGCCUGCAUGAAGUCGGAAUCGCUAGUAAUCGCGGAUCAGCACGCCG
Molecule: ribosomal RNA, 442 nt
Filed under: uncultured Bacillota bacterium
Lineage: Bacteria; Bacillati; Bacillota
Description: bacterial SSU rRNA
Rfam family: Bacterial small subunit ribosomal RNA
Source: RNAcentral